Molecule: ribosomal RNA, 419 nt
Filed under: Boana punctata group sp. ABGD cluster 85
Lineage: Eukaryota; Metazoa; Chordata; Amphibia; Anura; Hylidae
Description: partial large subunit ribosomal RNA
Rfam family: Bacterial large subunit ribosomal RNA
Source: RNAcentral
CUUGACUAAUUAUAAGAGGUUUAGCCUGCCCAGUGACACAUGUUCAACGGCCGCGGUAUCCUAACCGUGCGAAGGUAGCGUAAUCACUUGUUCUUUAAAUGAGGACUAGUAUGAACGGCACCACGAAGGUUAUACUGUCUCCUUUCUCUAAUCAGUAAAACUAAUCUCCCCGUGAAGAAGCGAGGAUAAAUUUAUAAGACGAGAAGACCCUAUGGAGCUUUAAACUAACCAGCAUUUGCUAUAUACAAAAUUUUUAACAACUUUAAAGAUAAUUUAGCCCUCUGACUGGUAGUUUUCGAUUGGGGUGAUCACGGAACAAAAAUAACCUCCGUGUCGAAAGGACUUACCUGAGCAAAAAGCGACAGCUUUCCGCACUAAAAAAAUUAACGCUUAUUGACCCAAUAUUUUGAUCAACGAAC